AGUGAACGCUGGCGGUAGGCCUAACACAUGCAAGUCGAACGGCAGCACAGUAAGAGCUUGCUCUUACGGGUGGCGAGUGGCGGACGGGUGAGGAAUACAUCGGAAUCUACUUUUUCGUGGGGGAUAACGUAGGGAAACUUACGCUAAUACCGCAUACGACCUACGGGUGAAAGCAGGGGAUCUUCGGACCUUGCGCGAUUGAAUGAGCUGAUGUCGGAUUAGCUAGUUGGCGGGGUAAAGGCCCACCAAGGCGACGAUCCGUAGCUGGUCUGAGAGGAUGAUCAGCCACACUGGAACUGAGACACGGUCCAGACUCCUACGGGAGGCAGCAGUGGGGAAUAUUCGACAAUGGGCGCAAGCCUGAUCCAGCCAUACCGCGUGGGUGAAGAAGGCCUUCGGGUUGUAAAGCCCUUUUGUUGGGAAAGAAAAGCAGCAGGUUAAUACCCCGCUGUUCUGACGGUACCCAAAGAAUAAGCACCGGCUAACUUCGUG
This 492-nucleotide ribosomal RNA is filed under the name uncultured bacterium. Its description in RNAcentral is "partial 16S ribosomal RNA". It matches the Rfam family "Bacterial small subunit ribosomal RNA", at positions 29 to 507 of the family's 1533-position model. The record is from RNAcentral.